CAUUUAUUGGCCUUCUGUAGCCUCUUUAUCAAAAAUACAGGAUCUCUGCUGUAACGUGACAUUUUCUAAGGCUCCCAUAGGCUCUCAGAAGGCGCCAGAACUUGGAAUGAUAACUCUGCAGUCUCUGGGCGAAAAACAGUAGGGCUUUUGGAGAGUGGUCCUUCUGAGAACAAUGACACUGGUGUGCGCGUGCAUGUGAAGACUCCAUUUUCUUAUUUCAGUGUUUGAAUGGAUACAUUUCCCGGAACCGCGCCGGCGCGUCACCCUUCGGAUAGUGAUUUGAACGCACGAACAAAAUUGAGCUAUUUGGAUAUAACUAUGGAUUAUUUGGAACCAAAACAACAUUGGGUGUUGAAGUAGAAGUCCUGGGAGUGCAUUCUGACGAAGAACAGCAAAGACGACGAUUUCGCUAUAUCGUCCUCCGACGAAGAAAGCCGUGACAGAAUCUCCCACCAAACCAGGACCAAGCAGCAGAGGAAGGAGCAGAGGAAUUGUGAUUUGGACAAUCGGGAGAGAUGGACAUGGGAGCAGGUUAUGGCCGGAGAAGGCCCAUGGAGUAAGGCUGUGUCUGUUCACAUGCAUAGGUUGACCUAAACAGUACAAACAUCUUCUGAGCAUGACUCCUAAUCUUCGGAAAGUUUUGUUCAUCACUCAACGUCAACAAAACAAAGGAGAUGAUCGUGGACUUUAGGAAACAGAAGGCCAUCAACGCCAUCAGACUGUUAAUCAUCACUAACAUAGAGAGGCUGCUGCCAACAUACAGGCUCACAUCUCUGGCCUCUUUAAUAAAUUGACUUAAAGGUAUCACUAGUAAUAAAGGUAUCACUAGUCACUUUAAAUAACACCACUUUAAUAAUGUUUACAUGUCCUACAUUACUCAUCUCAUAUGUAUUCUAAACCAUCUACUGCUUCUUGCCUAUGCCUCACAGCAAUCACUCAUUGUCACGUCCUGACCCUAGUAAGAUGUCAUUUUCUAUAGUAGAGUAGGUCAGGGUGUGACAGGGGGUGUUUUGUGUUUUUCUAUGUUUUCUAUUUCUAUGUUUGAGUUCUAGGUUUUCUAUUUCUAUGUUGGGGUUGAUCUCCAAUUGGAGGCAGCUGAUCCUCGUUGCCUCUGAUUGGAGAUCAUAUUUAAGUAGGGGUUUUUGUG
RNAcentral lists this long non-coding RNA (1147 nucleotides) under Salmo salar (Atlantic salmon). RNAcentral describes it as "lncRNA (ENSSSAG00000098243.1)". The record is from RNAcentral. Lineage: Eukaryota; Metazoa; Chordata; Actinopteri; Salmoniformes; Salmonidae.